CAGAGGGGGCAAGCGUUGUUCGGAAUUACUGGGCGUAAAGGGCGCGUAGGCGGCCUUCUAAGUCGAACGUGAAAUCCCUGGGCUCAACCCAGGAACUGCGUUCGAUACUGGGAGGCUUGAAUCCGGGAGAGGGAUGCGGAAUUCCAGGUGUAGCGGUGAAAUGCGUAGAUAUCUGGAGGAACACCGGUGGCGAAGGCGGCAUCCUGGACCGGUAUUGACGCUGAGGCGCGAAAGCCAGGGGAGCAAACGGGAUUAGAUACCCCGGUAGUCCUGGCCCUAAACGAUGAAUGCUUGGUGUGGCGGGUAUCGAUCCCUGCCGUGCCGAAGCUAACGCAUUAAGCAUUCCGCCUGGGGAGUACGGUCGCAAGGCUG
Molecule: ribosomal RNA, 372 nt
Filed under: uncultured organism
Description: bacterial SSU rRNA
Rfam family: Bacterial small subunit ribosomal RNA
Source: RNAcentral